Long non-coding RNA from Saccostrea echinata, 185 nucleotides. RefSeq lists it as uncharacterized. NCBI's taxonomy places the organism in Eukaryota, Metazoa, Mollusca, Bivalvia, Ostreida, Ostreidae. The record is from RefSeq and is a predicted model, not a curated record. The transcript is spliced from 3 exons.
AAACAUCAACAUGUGAUAGACGCCAUGAUUUGAAAUAACCGUAAGCAUGAUGGUGGAACAUAUCCUUGAGAACCAUUUAUCUGAAAGCAAACUGUCUGGAUGAACGCCAUCAUAAAAAUGAUUGUAAAUAAACUUGGUUGAUUUCCCUAAUGUCAUGUUCAAGAGAAUUUUGCUGGAAGUUGGAG